GUCACGAGUCCAUAUUUACAGACCUUUUACAAGGGAAAGUACCUUCCUUUCCUGCUCGCCUUGCAUUACUAACAAUCAGCGAGGAGGAAGGUGAGAGCUGCAUUCCUGCCCUGUGGAGGUGAGGUCCAUGUGAGGAAAGAUCUGCUGCUCAAUUGAUGAAUCCAUCUGAAGUCCCUAACGCUGUGCCAAAACCACAGUGAAACAGAGUCACAUGAGGUGGAAUGAACAUCGAGGCCUCGUCACAGGCCACAAUGACUCAGACUUAGAGGACACACUUGCUUCCACACUCACCAAUUUACCCACCCGCUAGCUCUGAGACAAACACUCAUUAUUCUCCAUACUCACAACUAUUUCUGCACAUUCUGAGAACUUGGUUUUACCGCUUCUCAAAAGUGCCACGUGUUGUAUAGCAGAAGAAAGUGAAUCUUGUUUUUGAUGAUGAUACAGGUUUAUCCCGUUCCCACACGUGAAGAGCGAGAACAACAUGAAUGAGGUAUUGGUACAGAGCCAAUAUUGGGCCUUUUUAAGCUCUUAAAGGGAAAAAAUAGCACUUGUGGUCAACCGAACCGCAAAUAUUUGCCUGGCGUGGUUUAUUGUAGUCAUCACAAUUCUUUGGUGGCAAAUGUAGUAGUUUUUCCCAAUAACAUCGUAAAAUUUGAGAGAUAACCUUUCAUAAUAAAAAACAGCAAACUGGACAAAUCUGAGGACAGCAUCACAGACCGUUAAUUGGCAAUACAACUUGGCUCUGCUGCUUGGUAGCUUAAGCAAUGGUACACUUUAAGAAAAAAAAGUUAUUCGGCU
Molecule: long non-coding RNA, 801 nt
Organism: Salvelinus namaycush (lake trout)
Lineage: Eukaryota; Metazoa; Chordata; Actinopteri; Salmoniformes; Salmonidae
Exons: 3
Source: RefSeq, a predicted model, not a curated record